Molecule: ribosomal RNA, 1071 nt
Filed under: Triticum aestivum (bread wheat)
Lineage: Eukaryota; Viridiplantae; Streptophyta; Magnoliopsida; Poales; Poaceae
Description: partial small subunit ribosomal RNA
Source: RNAcentral
AUGAAACAACUCCAUCUGGAAGAUGCGGACUUCGAUGAAUUGGUGAUUGAAGAGGACGAUCCGGUGGUGAACGAAGGCGUACGCUGGCUAGCCCUGGCUAGGGUUCAUACGACAAAAACCUUUAGCCCGACGGCGUUCUACAAGGAUAUGCGUGCUGCUUGGAACACGGUGAAGCCCGUGAGGUUCAGACCCGUCGGACCAAACGUCUUCGUAGUGCAGGCAGAGUGCCUUGGCGAUUGGGAACGCAUGGUGGAUCAAGGGCGAUGGCUCUUCAGGAAUAUGGUGGUGCUCAUGGCACCGUAUGAUGGGUUCACGAGGGUGGAGGAGGUGCCGGUGCUGUUUAUGCCGAUUUGGCUCCAAAUUCACAAGCUACCCGAGGGCUUUUGCAAGAAGAAUAUAGUGGAAUCUUUGUUAAGGAACUCCGGUGAUAUACUGGAGAUGAGGCUGAACGGGAACACACGUGGCGAUUAUGUGAGGGUUAGGGUUCGGCAUGAUAUCCAAAAAACCCUAACAAAGUUUGUUAGCAUUGUCAGAGGAAAGGAGAGGCAAGUGUUCUUAGUUCGCUAUGAAAAGUUAGCUCGUUUCUGCAGCGUCUGUGGUCUUAUUGGGCACGACUUUAAGGAGUGUGGAUCCGGGGUUCAUGAGGAGAAGGAUAAGAAAUUUGGACCCUGGCUUUAUGCCCAUGGCCCGAACAAAAUAAGGCAGGAUGAGGCUGGUCAUAGCUUCGAUCAGAAGCAGUUUCAGCGUUCUUCGGCGAAGGAAAAGGAAGUGGCCAAGACUAUGGACCCAGAUUUAACUGACAAGGCGUCUAGUCCAUCGAAGCACGGUACCAGUAGUAUGCAGGUGGAUCCAGCGGCUUGGAAAAGGUUGGCCAUGGAGCUAGAAGUUGAGGAGGAACAAAACAAGGCCACCUUGGGUGCUUUGGUGCUGACUCAGGGUCUGGGGGAAGAUGGAGGAGACCAGGCUUCUCCAACUAACAGUUCAAACAGCAAGAGAGCAAAGGUUACUACACCAGAAGUGUCUGAAGAGAAAUCGGCGGCCUCCUUCGAGGAGGACCGCCGGGUCCAAUGA